RNAcentral lists this transfer RNA (78 nucleotides) under Betaproteobacteria bacterium. RNAcentral describes it as "tRNA-Leu". It matches the Rfam family "tRNA". Rfam says of the family: Transfer RNA (tRNA) molecules are approximately 80 nucleotides in length. Lineage: Bacteria; Pseudomonadati; Pseudomonadota; Betaproteobacteria. The record is from RNAcentral.
GCCCCGCUGGCGGAAUUUGGCAUACGCGCUGGUCUCAGAAACCAGUUUUUCCCGGUUCGAGUCCGGGGUGGGGUACCA